This 253-nucleotide ribosomal RNA is filed under the name uncultured bacterium. Its description in RNAcentral is "partial 16S ribosomal RNA". It matches the Rfam family "Bacterial small subunit ribosomal RNA", at positions 524 to 776 of the family's 1533-position model. The record is from RNAcentral.
UACGAAGGGGGCUAGCGUUGUUCGGAAUCACUGGGCGUAAAGCGUAUGUAGGCGGAUUGUUAAGUCAGGGGUGAAAUCCCGAGGCUCAACCUCGGAACUGCCUUUGAUACUGGCUUUCUUGAGUUCGGGAGAGGUGAGUGGAACUCCUAGUGUAGAGGUGAAAUUCGUAGAUAUUAGGAAGAACACCGGUGGCGAAGGCGGCUUCCUGGCCCGUACCUGACGCUGAGGCGCGAAAGCGUGGGGAGCAAACAGG